This 364-nucleotide ribosomal RNA is filed under the name Escherichia coli. RNAcentral's name for it is "bacterial LSU rRNA". It matches the Rfam family "Bacterial large subunit ribosomal RNA", at positions 1 to 392 of the family's 2925-position model. RNAcentral also lists the same sequence under 1 other name. The record is from RNAcentral. Lineage: Bacteria; Pseudomonadati; Pseudomonadota; Gammaproteobacteria; Enterobacterales; Enterobacteriaceae.
GGGUUGUGAGGUUAAGCGACUAAGCGUACACGGUGGAUGCCCUGGCAGUCAGAGGCGAUGAAGGACGUGCUAAUCUGCGAUAAGCGUCGGUAAGGUGAUAUGAACCGUUAUAACCGGCGAUUUCCGAAUGGGGAAACCCAGUGUGAUUCGUCACACUAUCAUUAACUGAAUCCAUAGGUUAAUGAGGCGAACCGGGGGAACUGAAACAUCUAAGUACCCCGAGGAAAAGAAAUCAACCGAGAUUCCCCCAGUAGCGGCGAGCGAACGGGGAGCAGCCCAGAGCCUGAAUCAGUGUGUGUGUUAGUGGAAGCGUCUGGAAAGGCGUGCGAUACAGGGUGACAGCCCCGUACACAAAAAUGCACAU